CAUUCCGAAGUGCGGGGUCCUUUGGGCCCACCUCCCAUCCGUGUCUAUUGUACCCUGUUGCUUCGGCGGGCCCGCCGCUUGUCGGCCGCCGGGGGGGCGCCUCUGCCCCCCGGGCCCGUGCCCGCCGGAGACCCCAACACGAACACUGUCUGAAAGCGUGCAGUCUGAGUUGAUUGAAUGCAAUCAGUUAAAACUUUCAACAAUGGAUCUCUUGGUUCCGGCAUCGAUGAAGAACGCAGCGAAAUGCGAUAACUAAUGUGAAUUGCAGAAUUCAGUGAAUCAUCGAGUCUUUGAACGCACAUUGCGCCCCCUGGUAUUCCGGGGGGCAUGCCUGUCCGAGCGUCAUUGCUGCCCUCAAGCCCGGCUUGUGUGUUGGGUCGCCGUCCCCCUCUCCGGGGGGACGGGCCCGAAAGGCAGCGGCGGCACCGCGUCCGAUCCUCGAGCGUAUGGGGCUUUGUCACAUGCUCUGUAGGAUUGGCCGGCGCCUGCCGACGUUUUCCAACCAUUCUUUCCAGGUUGACCUCGGAUCAGGUAGGGAUACCCGCUGAACUUAAGCAUAUCAAUAAGGCGGAGGAA
RNAcentral lists this ribosomal RNA (576 nucleotides) under Aspergillus niger. RNAcentral describes it as "eukaryotic LSU rRNA". The stretch from base 192 to 345 matches the Rfam family "5.8S ribosomal RNA". Lineage: Eukaryota; Fungi; Ascomycota; Eurotiomycetes; Eurotiales; Aspergillaceae. The record is from RNAcentral.